This 409-nucleotide ribosomal RNA is filed under the name uncultured Methylomirabilota bacterium. RNAcentral's name for it is "bacterial SSU rRNA". It matches the Rfam family "Bacterial small subunit ribosomal RNA", at positions 1026 to 1434 of the family's 1533-position model. Lineage: Bacteria; Methylomirabilota (SeqCode). The record is from RNAcentral.
GCGUGGAGACAGGUGGUGCAUGGCUGUCGUCAGCUCGUGUCGUGAGAUGUUGGGUUAAGUCCCGCAACGAGCGCAACCCUCACCCCUGGUUGCCACCGGGUAAUGCCGAGCACUCGAGGGGAACUGCCAGCGUCAAGCUGGAGGAAGGCGGGGAUGACGUCAAGUCAUCAUGCCCCUUACGCCCUGGGCUACACACGUGCUACAAUGGCCGGUACAAAGGGACGCAAGACCGCGAGGUGGAGCUAAUCCCAAAAAGCCGGUCUAAGUUCAGAUUGCAGUCUGCAACUCGACUGCAUGAAGGAGGAAUCGCUAGUAAUCGCGCAUCAGCCCGGCGCGGUGAAUACGUUCCCGGGCCUUGUACACACCGCCCGUCACACCACGAAAGCUGUCUGUACUCGAAGUCGCUGAG